Molecule: ribosomal RNA, 272 nt
Filed under: Azospirillum brasilense
Lineage: Bacteria; Pseudomonadati; Pseudomonadota; Alphaproteobacteria; Rhodospirillales; Azospirillaceae
Description: partial 16S ribosomal RNA
Rfam family: Bacterial small subunit ribosomal RNA
Source: RNAcentral
UUGAACCUGAGAGUUUGAUCCUGGCUCAGAACGAACGCUGGCGGCAUGCCUAACACAUGCAAGUCGAACGAGGGCUUCGGCCCUAGUGGCGCACGGGUGAGUAACACGUGGGAACCUGCCUUUCGGUUCGGGAUAACGUCUGGAAACGGACGCUAACACCGGAUACGUCCUUCGGGAGAAAGUUUACGCCGAGAGAGGGGCCCGCGUCCGAUUAGGUAGUUGGUGGGGUAAUGGCCCACCAAGCCGACGAUCGGUAGCUGGUCUGAGAGGAU